GCCACCAAGCUUUUGGCAGAAGGUGAAUGAGGUGUGGAAGCGUAUCUCAUGGAAGUCCGUUUCCACACUUGUACUGCUUAUUGGGUGCACAGUUGUCGGAUAUUUUGCAAACAAAGAGGUCCCAUGGGCAUUGUUCAUCGUCGACGUACUAGACAAGGGGAACAAAACAUACAAACCCACUCUGGAGUUUGCAGUUCUACUAGUAGCAGUUAUCAUUUCUUUGUCCUCGAAGUAGAUGCAGAACAUUAGAUGUACCCGACAAGGCGAGCAAUGCUUUAAAAUCUGUUUUGGUAUUUGCAUCCCUAUUCAUGGCAAUCACAAUUUUUGAGUGUCCCCGAGGUAGUUACAGAGAUUGAGACGCAUAUGUUUUUUCAUUGGAAAGUUUACUCAUAAUAUUUCAGGAUCCUCGAGGUAUGAGACAAUCAGCCAGCUUAAACAUUCUUUCCAUAUUUGUAUCAGUCACGGGGUUUGAACAUAGCUUCGCCAAAUCUUUACUCAUAUAGGAGUUUGUUUAAAUAUUGCAGGUAGUUACAGACAUUGAGACGCGUGUUUUUUCAUUAUCACAAUGUACUGGACAAGGUGACAACCCUUAAAAAUGCAUUUUGGGAUGCAACUUUCGUAAUAGGGAUUAUCAAUUCUCCAUUCUUAGGUAGUUGGAGAAUGUUAUUCUUGGAUAUAUGUUACAGAGAGUAGAAUGGACGUGAUACAGUUGUUAGACAGAUAUACUUUCUAUGUCUUAGUCAUGUUAUAUAGCCAUCGUAUAAGGGGUUUUCUACGUCUUUACCUUUGUACCUGUAUAUACAUAUCGACUUCAUGGAAAUACCAGUUGCAUAUUUCCUAACAUUGUAUCAGAUCAGUUUCUUUCCUGAUAUAAAUGCCGUAAC
This is a long non-coding RNA of Lolium rigidum, 884 nucleotides long. RefSeq lists it as uncharacterized. The record is from RefSeq and is a predicted model, not a curated record. Lineage: Eukaryota; Viridiplantae; Streptophyta; Magnoliopsida; Poales; Poaceae. The transcript has 4 exons.